RNAcentral lists this ribosomal RNA (524 nucleotides) under uncultured bacterium. Its description in RNAcentral is "partial 16S ribosomal RNA". It matches the Rfam family "Bacterial small subunit ribosomal RNA", at positions 28 to 523 of the family's 1533-position model. The record is from RNAcentral.
GACGAACGCUGGCGGCGUGCCUAAUACAUGCAAGUCGAACGAAGCUGUUUUAACUGGUGCUUGCACCGACUUAAACAACUGAGUGGCGAACGGGUGAGUAACACGUGGGUAACCUGCCCCAAAGCGGGGGAUAACAUUUGGAAACAGAUGCUAAUACCGCAUAACCACAGAAACCACAUGGUUUCUGUGUCAAAGAUGGUUUCGGCUAUCACUUUGGGAUGGAACCGCGGCGUAUUAGCUAGUUGGUAAGGUAAUGGCUUACCAAGGCAAUCGUACGGUGCCGAACUGAGAGGUUGAUCGGCCACAUUGGGACUGAGACACGGCCCAAACUCCUACGGGAGGCAGCAGUAGGGAAUCUUCCACAAGGGACUAAAGUCUGAUGGAGCAACGCCGCGUGAGUGAAGAAGGGUUUCGGAUCGUAAAACUCUGUUGUCAGAGAAGAACGUGUGCGAGAGUAACUGUUCGUGCAGUGACGGUAUCUGGCCAGAAAGCCACGGCUAACUACGUGCCAGCCGCCGCAGUAA